This 433-nucleotide ribosomal RNA is filed under the name uncultured bacterium. RNAcentral's name for it is "partial 16S ribosomal RNA". It matches the Rfam family "Bacterial small subunit ribosomal RNA", at positions 29 to 507 of the family's 1533-position model. The record is from RNAcentral.
AACGAACGCUGGCGGCAUGCCUAACACAUGCAAGUCGAACGAGACCUUCGGGUCUAGUGGCGCACGGGUGCGUAACGCGUGGGAACCUGCCCUUAGGUUCGGAAUAACUCCCCGAAAGGGGUGCUAAUACCGGAUAAUGUCUUCGGACCAAAGAAUUAUCGCCUUUGGAUGGGCCCGCGUUGGAUUAGCUGGUUGGUAGGGAAAAAGCCUACCAAGGCGACGAUCCAUAGCUGGUCUGAGAGGAUGAUCAGCCACACUGGGACUGAGACACGGCCCAGAAUCCUACGGAAGGCAGGAGAGGGGAAUAUUGCACAACGGGCGAAAGCCAGAUCCAGCAAUGCCGCGUGAGUGAUGAAGGCCUUAGGGUUGUAAAGUUCUUUUACCCGGGACGAUAAUGACAGUACCGGGAGAAUAAGCCCCGGCUAACUCCGUG